ACGAACGCUGGCGGCGUGCUUAACACAUGCACGUCGAACGGAAAGGCCCUGCUUGCAGGGUACUCGAGUGGCGAACGGGUGAGUAACACGUGGGUGAUCUGCCCUGCACUUCGGGAUAAGCCUGGGAAACUGGGUCUAAUACCGGAUAGGAGCCAUUUUUAGUGUGAUGGUUGGAAAGUUUUUUCGGUGUAGGAUGAGCUCGCGGCCUAUCAGCUUGUUGGUGGGGUAAUGGCCUACCAAGGCGGCGACGGGUAGCCGGCCUGAGAGGGUGGACGGCCACAGUGGGACUGAGAUACGGCCCAGACUCCUACGGGAGGCAGCAGUGGGGAAUAUUGCACAAUGGGCGCAAGCCUGAUGCAGCGACGCCGCGGGGGGGAGGACGGCCUUCGGGUUGUAAACUCCUUUCGCUAGGGACGAAGCUUUUUGUGACGGUACCUAGAUAAGAAGCACCGGCUAACUACGUG
Molecule: ribosomal RNA, 464 nt
Filed under: uncultured bacterium
Lineage: Bacteria
Description: partial 16S ribosomal RNA
Rfam family: Bacterial small subunit ribosomal RNA
Source: RNAcentral